Molecule: signal recognition particle RNA, 190 nt
Filed under: Chlorocebus sabaeus (green monkey)
Lineage: Eukaryota; Metazoa; Chordata; Mammalia; Primates; Cercopithecidae
Description: Metazoan signal recognition particle RNA
Rfam family: Metazoan signal recognition particle RNA
About the family: The signal recognition particle (SRP) is a universally conserved ribonucleoprotein. It is involved in the co-translational targeting of proteins to membranes. The eukaryotic SRP consists of a 300-nucleotide 7S RNA and six proteins: SRPs 72, 68, 54, 19, 14, and 9.
Source: Rfam by way of RNAcentral
GCCGGGCGCGGUGGCUCACGCCUGUAAUCCCAGCACUUUGGGAGACCGAGACGGGCGGAUCACGAGGUCAGGAGAUCGAGACCAUCCUGGCUAACACGGUGAAACCCCGUCUCUACUUAGUAGAGACGGGGUUUCACCGUGUUAGCCAGGAUGGUCUCGAUCUCCUGACCUCGUGAUCCGCCCGUCUCGG